GGGCCCGUAGCCCAGCCCGGAUAGGGCGUUGGUCUUCGGAACCAAAAGUCGUGGGUUCAAAUCCCUCCGGGCCCA
This 75-nucleotide transfer RNA is filed under the name Nitrososphaerota archaeon. RNAcentral's name for it is "Thaumarchaeota archaeon (marine metagenome) tRNA-Arg". It matches the Rfam family "tRNA". Rfam says of the family: Transfer RNA (tRNA) molecules are approximately 80 nucleotides in length. The record is from RNAcentral. Lineage: Archaea; Thermoproteati; Nitrososphaerota. RNAcentral also lists the same sequence under 1 other name.